Molecule: ribosomal RNA, 429 nt
Filed under: Acidobacteriota bacterium
Lineage: Bacteria; Pseudomonadati; Acidobacteriota
Description: Acidobacteria bacterium partial 16S ribosomal RNA
Rfam family: Bacterial small subunit ribosomal RNA
Source: RNAcentral
UGGGGAAUUUUGGACAAUGGGGGAAACCCUGAUCCAGCCAUCCCGCGUGUGCGAUGAAGGCCUUCGGGUUGUAAAGCACUUUUGGCAGGAAAGAAACGUCAUGGGUUAAUACCCCGUGAAACUGACGGUACCUGCAGAAUAAGCACCGGCUAACUACGUGCCAGCAGCCGCGGUAAUACGUAGGGUGCAAGCGUUAAUCGGAAUUACUGGGCGUAAAGCGUGCGCAGGCGGUUCGGAAAGAAAGAUGUGAAAUCCCAGAGCUCAACUUUGGAACUGCAUUUUUAACUACCGGGCUAGAGUGUGUCAGAGGGAGGUGGAAUUCCGCAUGUAGCAGUGAAAUGCGUAGAUAUGCGGAGGAACACCGAUGGCGAAGGCAGCCUCCUGGGAUAACACUGACGCUCAUGCAAGAAAGCGUGGGGAGCAAACAGG